This 253-nucleotide ribosomal RNA is filed under the name uncultured bacterium. Its description in RNAcentral is "partial 16S ribosomal RNA". It matches the Rfam family "Bacterial small subunit ribosomal RNA", at positions 524 to 776 of the family's 1533-position model. The record is from RNAcentral.
UACGGGGGGGGUAAGCGUUGUUCGGAAUUACUGGGCGUAAAGGGCUCGUAGGCGGCCAACUAAGUCAUACGUGAAAUCCCUCAGCUUAACUGGGGAACUGCGUGUGAUACUGGAUGGCUUGGAUUUGGGAGAGGGAUGCGGAAUUCCAGGUGUAGCGGUGAAAUGCGUAGAUAUCGGAAGGAACAUCAGUGGCGAAAGCGACUUCCUGGACCAAUACUGACGCUCAUGUGCGAAAGCGUGGGGAGCAAACAGG